UUUUCUUGAGGCUGUGAUAAGGGCGAGUGCUAGUUUCUCCAUGUUCGGGUAGCGUGUUUCAGCUGAGAGAAGUGCUUUGCUGAUGUAGUACACGGGCAAUUGGCGUUCAUUUUCUUCUCUGACUAGGACGGCACUGACCGCUACGUCCGAAACCACUAAGUACAGUAGUAGAGACUCAUCAGAUUGAGAUUUCGACAAGAGGGACGCCUCUCCAAGGUGCUUUUUCAGAGCCUCGAAGGCUUCUUCACACUCCGAAGUCCAUUGAAAUUUCUUUCCUUGUUUCAGCACAUUGAAAAAAGGUAAGCUUUUAUCUGUGGCC
Molecule: long non-coding RNA, 319 nt
Filed under: Olea europaea (common olive)
Lineage: Eukaryota; Viridiplantae; Streptophyta; Magnoliopsida; Lamiales; Oleaceae
Description: long non-coding RNA (OEUR_LNC004307)
Source: RNAcentral